Molecule: transfer RNA, 74 nt
Filed under: Deltaproteobacteria bacterium
Lineage: Bacteria; Pseudomonadati; Myxococcota; Myxococcia
Description: tRNA-His
Rfam family: tRNA
About the family: Transfer RNA (tRNA) molecules are approximately 80 nucleotides in length.
Source: RNAcentral
GUGGGUGUAGCUCAGCUGGUUAGAGCGCCAGGUUGUGGCCCUGGAGGCCGCGGGUUCAAACCCCGUCACUCACC